GCGAUACUAGCUCAGUUGGUAGAGCGCAACCUUGCCAAGGUUGAGGUCACGAGUUCGAACCUCGUGUAUCGCUCCA
RNAcentral lists this transfer RNA (76 nucleotides) under Photobacterium pectinilyticum. Its description in RNAcentral is "tRNA-Gly". It matches the Rfam family "tRNA". Rfam says of the family: Transfer RNA (tRNA) molecules are approximately 80 nucleotides in length. Lineage: Bacteria; Pseudomonadati; Pseudomonadota; Gammaproteobacteria; Vibrionales; Vibrionaceae. The record is from RNAcentral.